This 346-nucleotide unclassified non-coding RNA is filed under the name soil metagenome. RNAcentral's name for it is "partial contains 5.8S ribosomal RNA, internal transcribed spacer 2, and large subunit ribosomal RNA". The stretch from base 1 to 119 matches the Rfam family "5.8S ribosomal RNA", at positions 35 to 154 of the family's 154-position model. The record is from RNAcentral.
GAUGAAGAACGCAGCGAAAUGCGAUACGUAAUGUGAAUUGCAAAUUCAGUGAAUCAUCGAGUCUUUGAACGCACAUUGCGCCCCCUGGUAUUCCGGGGGGCAUGCCUGUCCGAGCGUCAUUGCUGCCCUCAAGCGCGGCUUGUGUGUUGGGCCCCGUCCUCCGAUCCCGGGGGACGGGCCCGAAAGGCAGCGGCGGCACCGCGUCCGGUCCUCGAGCGUAUGGGGCUUUGUCACCCGCUCUGUAGGCCCGGCCGGCGCUUGCCGAUCAACCCAAAUUUUUUAUCCAGGUUGACCUCGGAUCAGGUAGGGAUACCCGCUGAACUUAAGCAUAUCAAUAAGCGGAGGA